GCCGGAACGAGCAUCCCCUGCAUUGGAGACAGAGCCCGAGGUGCCUGCAUGGGCAGGGUAGAAGGGAAAGAAAGCUUGUCUGCUCCUAUGGUGCUUGUACUGCAGUGAAGAUGCCUCCUCUAUCCACUUCAGCUUCCUGGGUAACUGUUACCCCAGCUUGGGUCCACCAAUUAGGUCACCGAGGCUCAAGGUGCUGGGAUUCCCAGAGGAGGAAGCAAGGACACGGCUCAGACAUGUCCUUCUCGACUUUCGACAGCAUUUCUACAGGCAAAGAAUGGAGUCUGACAAGAGACCCAGAUAGACUGGAAAGAAAUUAGAAACAAUCGUGGAAAAGAGCAAAUGGCCAUUACUGAAGGCAGAAGCAAUGGCACCUUUGGGGAUAGACCUCUCUAACCAAUUAUUCUGGAAGGCUAUAACAUUAAUUAAAGGGUCAUAAAAAUGAUACAGUACUUACAGAAGCAGAGCGGGGCCCUAGUGAUGUGAAAUUACAUUUUCGAUACAGCAUGUUCCAAGGGGCAGUCAGCUUACUUCUGCAAAACUGUAGUUAGGACCGGGUGGUAAUCACAGAAGAAUAGUGCAUACUACUGCAGUCAUACACUGCUAGGGUCUUGCUUCUACCAGCAAUUUCAUUUAAACAUGGUACUUGGUCUGGUAACCCUACUUCUGAUUAUUACUACAGGGGUCAGAGCAAAAUAGAGUAUCUGGCAACCAAUUAUUCAUAUAAUGUCAUUAAGGAUUAAUGCCUGCUGAAGCCCACAACAGUGGGGUAAUACAAAAAUAAUAUAAAGUGUUGCUGUUGCCAUUUUGAUUUUUAUACCCACUAUGCCACAGUCCCUUCCCAGAGGCUAUUAUCCCACUGCUACUAUAGGCACCAUCUCUCCCUACUAUACCUGCU
Long non-coding RNA from Xenopus tropicalis (tropical clawed frog), 895 nucleotides. RefSeq lists it as uncharacterized. The record is from RefSeq and is a predicted model, not a curated record. The transcript is spliced from 4 exons. NCBI's taxonomy places the organism in Eukaryota, Metazoa, Chordata, Amphibia, Anura, Pipidae.